This is a long non-coding RNA of Thalassophryne amazonica, 285 nucleotides long. RefSeq lists it as uncharacterized. The transcript is spliced from 3 exons. NCBI's taxonomy places the organism in Eukaryota, Metazoa, Chordata, Actinopteri, Batrachoidiformes, Batrachoididae. The record is from RefSeq and is a predicted model, not a curated record.
UGGAGUAGUCCUCACCAGAAUGGGGUUCAAACAAAUAGUCUCCAGUAGCAAGCUCAAAGGCCUAGGAAACAAACAAAAAAGGAACAAGUGUUCAAUGCAUGUGCCUGAUGGCUGAUGGACCAUAAGACCAGAAAACUGUCUCUUGCUUUAUGUGUUUUUUUUGUCCAUCUUUUCAUGAUUUUCACCUGACAGCUUAGCCACUUCAGCCCCUCUCACACAGAAGGCGUGUGCAUGGCAUUUAAAGGUACAUGUAGCACUCGCCAUGAUCUCACAAUGAUAAUGCAU